This 501-nucleotide long non-coding RNA is filed under the name Homo sapiens (human). RNAcentral's name for it is "HSALNT0238353". Lineage: Eukaryota; Metazoa; Chordata; Mammalia; Primates; Hominidae. The record is from RNAcentral.
CCAGCCCGCUCCUCCCUUUUAAAUAUUGAAGCCCUCAAAAUCAUCUUUAGAUAAAGGCACAGACCUCCCUCCCAAGCAUGUCCUUAACCUUGGCAAAAUAAACUUCCAAAUUGAUUGAGAGCUGGUUUUGGUUUACAAGCUGGCAGCCAAAGGAAGUGACUCAGUGGAGGUGGCCCUGACCUUUGACAAAUCUAUCAGUGCUUGGUACCAGCUUGGGCUAUUUUUAUUGCUCAAACAGGACAAUUUGCUGAGGCCUGGGAGCACCCCACUCCAGAGAAUCCCUGAUGUCCCAAAAUUUGGUUGAGAUCUAAAGUUUAUUUUGCUGUACACCUCUUUGUCUGCAGUUUUACUUACUCCCAACAAAGAAGGUGCGUUUUCCUGCCUCCAUGACGAUGGAGGGGAGGCAACUCCUUUCUGGAAUUUCAUCUGGCUUCCAGCAGGGAAGGAAUCAAUCCAAGUUCAUCUACAGCGGAUUCGGAAGGGACUAGACCUUCCGCAAUG